GACGAACGCUGGCGGCGUGCCUAAUACAUGCAAGUCGAACGCAGUGGGGACGGGUGAGUAACACGUGGGUAACCUCCCAUCAGAGGGGAUAACACUUGGAAACAGGUGCUAAACCGAUACUGAUGGAUGGACCCGCGGUGCAUUAGCUAGUUGGUGAGGUAACGGCUCACCAAGGCCACGAUGCAUAGCCGACCCGAGAGGGUGGUCGGCCAACCUGGAGCCUGUGCACGGCCCAGACCCCUACGGGAGGCAGCAGGAGGGAAUCUUCGGCAAGUGACGAAAAGCUGACCGAGCAACGCCGCGUGAGUGAAGAAGGUUUUCGGAUCGUAAAACUCUGUUUUUAGAGAAGCGGUAUCUAACCAGAAAACCACGGCUAACUACGUGCCAGCCGCCGCGGUAAUAC
This 403-nucleotide ribosomal RNA is filed under the name uncultured bacterium. RNAcentral's name for it is "partial 16S ribosomal RNA". It matches the Rfam family "Bacterial small subunit ribosomal RNA", at positions 28 to 526 of the family's 1533-position model. The record is from RNAcentral.